GUCCCGGUAGCUCAGCUGGAUAGAGCACAGGUUUCCUAAACCUGGGGUCAGAGGUUCAAGUCCUCUCCGGGACGCCA
RNAcentral lists this transfer RNA (77 nucleotides) under Hyphomicrobiales bacterium. RNAcentral's name for it is "tRNA-Arg". It matches the Rfam family "tRNA". From Rfam's summary of the family: Transfer RNA (tRNA) molecules are approximately 80 nucleotides in length. RNAcentral also lists the same sequence under 2 other names. The record is from RNAcentral. Lineage: Bacteria; Pseudomonadati; Pseudomonadota; Alphaproteobacteria; Hyphomicrobiales.